GACGAACGCUGGCGGCGUGCUUAACACAUGCAAGUCGAACGGAAAGGCCUCUUUCGGGGGGUACUCGAGUGGCGAACGGGUGAGUAACACGUGAGUAACCUGCCCUUGACUUUGGGAUAACUUCAGGAAACUGGGGCUAAUACCGGAUAGGAGCUCCUGCUGCAUGGUGGGGGUUGGAAAGUUUCGGCGGUUGGCGAUGGACUCGCGGCUUAUCAGCUUGUUGGUGGGGUAGUGGCUUACCAAGGCUUUGACGGGUAGCCGGCCUGAGAGGGUGACCGGCCACAUUGGGACUGAGAUACGGCCCAGACUCCUACGGGAGGCAGCAGUGGGGAAUAUUGCACAAUGGGUGGCAGCCGGAUGCAGCAACGCCGUGUGCGGGAUGACGGCCUUCGGGUUGUAAACCGCUUUCGCUCAUGACGAAGCUUUGUGUGACGGUAGUGGGUAAAGAAGCACCGGCUAACUACGUG
RNAcentral lists this ribosomal RNA (467 nucleotides) under uncultured bacterium. RNAcentral's name for it is "partial 16S ribosomal RNA". It matches the Rfam family "Bacterial small subunit ribosomal RNA", at positions 28 to 507 of the family's 1533-position model. The record is from RNAcentral.